GAUGAAGAACGUAGCGAAAUGCGAUAAGUAAUGCGAAUUGCAGAAUUCCGUGAGUCAUCGAAUCUUUGAACGCACAUUGCGCCCUCUGGUAUUCCGGAGGGCAUGCCUGUCUGAGCGUCAUUGUCAACCCUCAAGCUCAGCUUGCUGUUGGGUCCCCGUCGUUGCUUUAACGGCGGACCCGAAAGGUAAUGGCAGAGUCCGUGAGACCCUAGACGCAGCGAGCUUCUAGCACGCGUCUGGACGUUUUUCGGGCUCGGUCUUAACUAGAUGAUAACUUCCGAUUGACCUCAGAUCAGGUAGGGAUACCCGCUGAACUUAAGCAUAUCAUAAGCGGAGG
This 337-nucleotide unclassified non-coding RNA is filed under the name soil metagenome. RNAcentral's name for it is "partial contains 5.8S ribosomal RNA, internal transcribed spacer 2, and large subunit ribosomal RNA". The stretch from base 1 to 120 matches the Rfam family "5.8S ribosomal RNA", at positions 35 to 154 of the family's 154-position model. The record is from RNAcentral.